Molecule: ribosomal RNA, 454 nt
Filed under: Entrophospora lamellosa
Lineage: Eukaryota; Fungi; Glomeromycota; Glomeromycetes; Entrophosporales; Entrophosporaceae
Description: LSU rRNA
Rfam family: Eukaryotic large subunit ribosomal RNA
Source: RNAcentral
GGAAAGAUGAAAAGAACUUUGAAAAGAGAGUUAAACAGUACGUGAAAUUGUUGAAAGGGAAACGAUUGAAGUCAGUCGUGCUGGCGCGAAAUCAACCCUCUCAUCGGGAGAUCACAUGUUGUGGCGAGCCUCAAAACCGCCACAGCGUGUGACCUCACGAUGAGGGGGAGCACUUUCGUGUCCGCUGGUUAACAUCAAUUUCGAACGUCAUAAAAAGGCUGGAGGGAUGUGGCUCCUUCGGGAGUGUUAUAACCUUUAGCGGAAUGUGGUGGUCGGGAUUGAGGAUUGCAACGAAUACCUUUAGGGCUGUUCCACCUGGCUUCUCUUUGGUAUCCUGGUGAAGACAGCUUGCUGACUUUGUUAGGAUUCGCCUUUGAACAGGCUAGAGUGUGAGCAAAUUCGUUAAGGAUGUUAACGUAAUGGCUUUAAACGACCCGUCUUGAAACACGGACCA